This 2730-nucleotide long non-coding RNA is filed under the name Bemisia tabaci. Its description in RNAcentral is "lncRNA ENSSSA2NGG012177". Lineage: Eukaryota; Metazoa; Arthropoda; Insecta; Hemiptera; Aleyrodidae. The record is from RNAcentral.
CGGCAACAUUGCGGGUCAAAGAACGGAAAAGAGAAUAAUUAUCCGUCGAUACGGCAACCGCGUGGUAAUGUCGAAUGUUUUGUUUUGAAACCAAUUUUGUUUUUGAAAGUCCUACCAAAAUAGCUCCCUUUAGACUGUAAUUAUUUUAUAAUUUAAUCAGUUAUGCUCUCAAGCUAGCUACAUUGCGCUUAUAGACCGUCCACCGGUCUAGUGAUUACCUCCGAGUAAAUUUUCGUUCACCGGGUGCUAUCAUUUUUUUAUAUAAUAAUAAGGGUAAAAUGGGUGACAGUGGAGGCGAAUUUGAAUCAGGAAAAAAUCAAGAUGACCUGAUUAUGCAAAGACAACGAGAAAUUGAAAAAGAGAUCAAUGAAUCCAUCAUGUUAGUGGGCGAUAAGGAGUCGCUGUCAACCUUGGAGGCAGAAUAUCUAGCGAUGAAAUUUAUAAACAGAAGUCAAAGAUCUGGCUACCAAGUACAAGAAUAUCCGCCGUACACGGCCGGACGGCAACUGUUUUUUCCGUGCCUUUGCUUAUGCUUACUUGAAAGCUUACUGGACCAUAAAGAAGACUAUAACAGGUAGAAAGUAAGGAAUAGAUUCCACCUAUGAUACAUUCCACAAUGCCACCUCAUACAUUUUGAGAAAUUAUCUUUCUACUUCACUUGUUCGAAUUAAAUGUCGAUUGGACUUACGCAUUCCAAAAUUAUUCCGCUCUCAUCAAGAUUGAGGAUGUUAUAAAACUGUACAAGUAUCACACAUCAAGUGUUGAAGUUAAGUCAACAGAUUUUGAAAAUGUAGCUGGUUCUUUAUAAUUAGUUUUUAUGUACAGUAAGACCUCGAAUUAUCGGAUUGCGAUUUAACGGAUUCCGAGUUUUAACGGAUGGAUCCUCCGGUCCCUUCAGCAGGACCCACUAGCGCGAUUUAACGGGUUGGGCCUCCGGUCCCGUGAAAUACGUCAAAUCGAAGUCUGACUGUACUAUGGACCUUGAAGUAUUAUAACUAAUGUGGCAGUCUGCUAGCUUGAAUAUCAAAGAUUCUAAUCUUCUGAAAACGAUUUCAUACCGGCCUCUUUUGAUGCCCUUACCAUAGUAGGUGUCACAAACAAAGAUGCAGCUCAACUUAUGCAAUCAUUAUCAAGCUCCACCUUUCAUGUGGUACUUAAAUAAACUUAAUUCUUUGAACUUGGUAUCUUCAUUAUGUACUUGAAGGCAUUGUAAGUAAAACUAAAAAUUGUGCAAAACUAAAAUCUGUUUCCACAUACGAUAAUCAGUAAUUAGAAACUUUUUACUGUCCAUCAUCUGUCACUACUUAGUUUCUUUUAAGCUAAAAACGAGGGUCCACUAUUUGAGCGUAAGUUUACUCCCAUGUAUAUGAGAGCCCAUGUCAAAAUUUAGUUUGCUGCGUCUUUAUUUCAAUGUACCUUACCUUUUCAAAACAAUACCUUAUAUGCAUUUGUAAAUGGCUGACGAAAAGUUGCGUUUGAGAGCAUCAAGAUAGUGCAAAUUUACUUAUGCAAAAUUUGCCUAAUUAUCUUUGCUAAAUUUUGCAAUUUAUUUCUUUUUUUCAGUUUUAUAAUAUUGCUGUAGAAAGUAAGAAAAAAUUGAUCUCGCUUGGAUUUCCUCAGUUUACUUUGGAAGAUUUCAUGAUACAGUAAGUAUUCAUGUAUACCUAUGUGCCCAAAUAUUUUGAAUGAAUCAUCACCAACAAAAUGCCACAAAUGAUUACGCCACUUCUUUAAUUUUAAAUAAUCUUUUUUAUCAGUUGAUUUCUACCAACCCAAGUAGCAUUGUCAUCUACUCUCUAGGUGGCGCUCAUCAAGAAAAUGUCUACUUUCUAGAUAGAACGAUUUUCUUGAAAGAAAAUAGGUAUAAAGUAGAUCUAGAAAAUAGACACAAGAAAAUAGAAAAAAAAUACAUUUUUUCCUUGCAUUUUCUCAAAAGAAAACAUUAAGAAAUUGGCUAGAAAAUAAUUCUACUUUCAAUAAAUUUUCUAUAUUUUUCCAAAUGAAAAGUUGACAGAAAGUAGACCUAUGAAAUAGAUCUAUUUUCUUAGGUCAGACUUUUGACUCGUAAUGUUUUUUCUUUCUAUCUUCUCGAUAACUCUCAUUUUCUUGGUAUUUUUUAGAAAUUUUCUUCAUAUUUUUUUCUAGGAAAAAAUUCUAUUUUGCUACUUGGGAAUGCAUUUUAAAAUUAUAUCGCUAAUAGCUCUUUCGUGAUGCCUAAUGUUUGAGAUUUCAAACGGCUUUGAUACAGUUUCAAUACUUUUAUAGCAGCUCAUAAAUUCGGCUUUAACCACUCGAGAAAGUUCUCAGUAUUUGACAUCAAACAAAAUCCAACUUUCAAACUCCCAAAAGAGGAAAGCAUUGUAAUAAAGGGUACAAUCGGAAAACCUCAAUCUUGUCACAUUCUAAACCACACAUCGUGCACAGCACAUUUGCUUUUGUUGUAUGUAUCUUUAUUUUCCCUCAGAACUUCUGAUAUCCGUCAUGUUAAAAGACAAGCUCUUCAUGCGAAAUUUUUAAGUUUUACGCAAUAAAAUUUUCUGGAAACUAGCAAAAUGCUAACUUCUUCUAAGUAAUGUCUCUAGGUCCCCUUCUCAUAAAAAUAUUAAAGAUAUCUAGAACUUGCUGAAGCCCAUCCAAUGCAUGUCUGUAAACCCUAAUUUUUUUUCUUAAUGACUUCUGCUAUCUUCUAAUAAAUUACCAUAGCAAGCCAAAAUUUGGCUCUAAUUUGUC